This 726-nucleotide long non-coding RNA is filed under the name Homo sapiens (human). RNAcentral's name for it is "non-protein coding LINC02327:41". The record is from RNAcentral. Lineage: Eukaryota; Metazoa; Chordata; Mammalia; Primates; Hominidae.
GCCCGCCACUACGCUCGGCUAAUUUUUUUGUGUUUUUAGUAGAGACGGGCUUUCACCGUGUUGGCCUAGCGGUUCUCCAACUCCUGACCUCAUGAUCCCCCCGCCUCAGCCUCCCAAAGUGCUGGGAUUACAAGCGUGAGCCACCGCGACCCGCCAACACUCUUGACAACAGUGCUGUGCUAAGAACUUGGGGGACUUCAAAAAGUUCACCAGUUCCUGUGUCCAUGGGUGAAAAGAUUUUCUACAUCUUUCCUUGACUAGAAACAGAAGUCCUGAAACAAGAAUAUAACGUCAGGAGGCCAGAGGCUUUGUCCUGCCUAAUGUGUUAUUUCCACACUGAAUAAAAGCACCUGAGUCCUGCAUUUUAAAAAGGUUGUACAUCUAGCAAUACCUAACAAAAUAGGAAAUCAACUUGGAAAGCCAAUGGCUGUGUUUUGAGUUUAUGGAGAGCCAUAUGUGGCAAGGAACUGAGGGUGGCAUCCAGGCAACAGACUUCAAGAAACUGAGGCUGUCAGUCCAACAACCCACAAGAACUGAAUCUGACCAACAAUCACAGGAACAAACUUAGAAGUAUACUCUUUCCCAGACAAACCUUCAGAUGAGACCACAGCCCCAGCCAUAAGCUUGAAAACAAUCUCAUGAGGGACCUUGAGCCACAGGCAUGUAGUAAAGCUAUGCCAGGAAUCCUGCCUGCCCCACAGAAAAUGUAAAAAAAAUAAAUUUUUA